Molecule: microRNA precursor, 91 nt
Filed under: Canis lupus familiaris (dog)
Lineage: Eukaryota; Metazoa; Chordata; Mammalia; Carnivora; Canidae
Also listed under: 1 other name
Description: mir-8799 microRNA precursor family
Rfam family: mir-8799 microRNA precursor family
Source: Rfam by way of RNAcentral
GGGAUGAGCGCGGGAUCUUGGGCUGUGUCCCCAGCACCCUGUGCUCCUGGGCCUGUGCUGUUGGAUUCCCACUCCUGGCCCCGCAGACCCU